Molecule: long non-coding RNA, 3395 nt
Organism: Anas platyrhynchos (mallard)
Lineage: Eukaryota; Metazoa; Chordata; Aves; Anseriformes; Anatidae
Source: RefSeq, a predicted model, not a curated record
AAACCUGGUAAAGGAUUGAUCCACAGCAGCUGUAAUCCUCGAGUUAAAUCCCAGCCCCACUGGGAGUUUUAUCAUUGCCUUCAAAGGAGGAAAGAUUUCAACCUGCGUGUUAUUUUAUUCAAUCACCUAGUGAAGCUCCUAGCAGUAAAGCAGCUCAGCUCAGUCCCGCUCCCCUGUGGGAGGCAUGGGUUCAGACUGCUUUAUCAACUAGGAGUGUGGAACUGGCUUUCAGGAAAAAAUGGAUAAAACCCCUUUGAAUAGGCCUUUGUCUCAUUUUAGUAAUCUAUGUUUUUUUGUUUGUUUUGUUUUUUCACAGAUGUAACUCAAAACUGCUGAAUUUUCAAAUUUUCAAGUCCAAGCCUAGUGAGAACUUUAGUUUUUGGCUUGUUUCAUAACAAAACUUUGUGGCAAUGGAGAAUUUGGUUUCACGUAAUCAUGGCAGACAACUGAGCUACUGCUAAGCAAACAAGGGGACACAUGCAUGGAUCUCAUUUUUACUCCAUGCCACGUGCAGGAUGCAAGCGUUGAUCCUUGCUUAUCACAGGAUAGAUUCAGGGAAGCCAAACACUACACGAUGUGAACCAGGACCCCUGACUCUUUUGGGCCUGAUAAGAUUUACUGAUAGGAAUGACAAAAAGUACAGUCCCCAGCUGGACUAAAUCUCCACCUGAUGGAGUCAACGUGGGAUUGGCCUUCAGCUGUCUUUAUGAAUGCUGGUGUGAGUUCAGAGCUGACUGAGAGCUACCACAGAGCAGGCUGUAUGAAUUCUGAGAAACAGGAAAACACUGUGAGAAAGCUCCUAUUUUUGCAUCCUUUAUGUUGCUUUCACAGCUUGUAACUGCUGAGCCAUCAAAAAGCUGCAUUUAGGAGUAAGCUGGACUUUCUUCUUUGGGCUGUGAAUGAAAUAGUGUAAGAAACAUAAAAAUCCCUCUGUCAACACUGCAGAGAUGCACACAAAGCCAAGAUAAACUCCCCUCACAACACAGCAAAUAUCUGUGCACUGGUGCAUGGGAAGUAGAAAAGGAAGAGCAGUGCGUGAGGUUCAAAGGUGUAUAGCCACAAUCAUGCCAUUGGCCCAAAGAACAUUGCUCAAGUUGAAAUGUAUCUGCUUAUAUUCACUACUCCAAGCUGUUUGCAAGAGAUGUAAUCUUGUGCUUUAUGUGACCCAAAGAAAUCAAGUCCAUGAUGCUCCUUCGAGGGGUCUCUGGCCAGGUCUGCACCAAGAACAGCUGAUGCUACCAAAGCAUUACAAAGCAAUAUAAUGCUGCAGACUGUAGAUGUUGCAGAGGUUAUUGAAGGACUCAUGGACCUGACAACGCUUCGAUUUCACGGAAACAGAACUUCAACUGCUUUGUGACAUUGAUUUCCCAGAGUCAGGGCAAGGUUUGAUGAUAAACAACAUAUAUUCUCUGGAAGACUUACCUUUGCUUAGUAAAUAUUUCAUUUUCUAUUUCAAGGCUGUAACAAAGCCACAGUUUUACUCUGACCUUGAAAAUUCAGAAUGGGAUAAUAGAUGUGUCAGACAGAUUAGCAGAAUUGUUAAUACUACUAUAAGUUGGAGUAAUAACACUGUUUGAGAUGGUAACUAGAUGCUCCUGGGAAUAGCACUGAAGUAAUCAACCACAAGGCAUGGGUUCCAAGGAAGCACUGAAAUGCCUUCCCAUUUCUCCCAAAAGACAAGAAAGAGAAGAGCUGAAUUAGCAGUUAAUAAUAUAUAAUGAGUUAGAAGUUUGAAGUUUAUGAUGAUUCAUAAUUAUUGUAAGAAACCAGUUUGUCAAUUCAUGAAUUCAAGACAAACUUGUUUUCCUGCACACUGACUAUUGCCAUUUGUUGUAGUUGUGGUGUUGUAUGAUCUUUCAACAGGGUUCAAUUUUUGGAGAUUUUUUUUUCCCUUCCUACAACAAAUAGUAAGUAAGCAAAGGGUUUGGUGUCUCUGAAAAGAAAAAUUGGAGUCCAGUCAGAUUUUCAAAGACAUUUUUGGUAACAGCCCUUCCUUUUCACAGAUUUGUUGAUCCCUGUAGCUGACAAGGAUUUCAACUGCUGUGAAGCAGCUGUCUGCAGUGAGUAAGCUAUGAACUCCCCUGGCUUGAUGAGGUACGCAGAGCACAGGCACCCUGAAGAGAAGACAUUGGGAAAUCUGGGCCUGCCAUCUACAAAGAACUUCAAGAUGCUUUCAUCCAGAGCAGGAACUAUGCCCAUUCCUAUGUCUGGGACAGGAAGCAAGGUCAACGGAAAGGAGUUGCAUGAUCCCUCCAAUGCCAGUGAAGCUUGCUGUGCUUUAGGCGUGACAGCACUUGGCUGGGCAUCUCUUAUGGUUAUAUAGGAGAUAUAUAACCUUGCAGGAUUGCUUGUCCAGACUUCUAGUAGGAUUUUCCCUCCUUCUGUUUCUCCUCACUGUCUUCAUCCAAAUCAAGUCAAUUAAGAUACUUGCCCUCAACCUUAUCUUCUCAUAAGACUUCUCACCUGAUUGUUGUGUAAUACUGUGUAGCCCAACUUAAUCUCAAACACAAAUUGUAAGCAAAUUUCCAGUAAUAAUAUAUUUCCAGUGUCUUUUUUCUUAUUUUGUCUGAUUUUUUUUUUUUUAAAGCUCAUUCGUAUUUAAAAAUGAUUUGACUAAAUUUUUCAUGACUUUUGCUUGCACUUAAGUUAACUAUUUCCAUAUUUAGCAGUCCCUAUCAGGCUGCUUAUUCACUUUGUAUUCAGUCCUGUAGUCAAGGGAAUUGACUUCCACACAGCUCUGCAUGGAUCUAUGGCACAGAUUACCACAAUGAGUAUGGUAUUAUAUUUAAUUCUUAACUGGAUGAACAUAAUCAGAUACCUGUAUGAAUGAUCACAAGAAAGUUCAGAUGUUCUUUCCCAAUUAUUCAGAGAAAAUGUAAAACUCAGUUUCAACAGUAUUUAUAGAAAGCAAAGGUAUCACAGAUGCUAAUAUGAUUGGAGCAUCUUUGUGUUUAAGUUUGGAUUAUUUUUCCCAUGGGAUUUCUUGAAUCCUUUUUACAUUAUCCACCCCACUCCAGCCCUGCCUAUGGAUGAGUACUGCAACCUGUUUUCCCCUAGAUCAGCUACCCUUAGUCUAUCAUAACAGCAUGUUGGGUUCUUGAUAUCUCUGCGUGUAUCCUCAUGUACUUGUGUUUGGGAUAGAGAAUUUACUGUAAAGAACUCAGAGACCUGACAAAUAAUAAUAGCAGAAAAAUAAAUUGGACUGGAAGGGCUGCAGUAGAGAGGUAAACAUACAGUGUUCUGGUAAAUAUUGUGUGCUUAGUGAGGUACCUGCUAAGAAGGGUGUGAAAGCAAAAAAUUGUAAUUGAUGGAUAUAGAAGGUAAACAAGGAUUCAGCUACUCUAUAGAAUAUGUGAUAUAAUUUGGAGCAGUGGAAUGAACAUAAAAAGUAAAAA